This 497-nucleotide ribosomal RNA is filed under the name uncultured bacterium. Its description in RNAcentral is "partial 16S ribosomal RNA". It matches the Rfam family "Bacterial small subunit ribosomal RNA", at positions 28 to 507 of the family's 1533-position model. The record is from RNAcentral.
GAUGAACGCUGGCGGCGUGCCUAAUACAUGCAAGUCGAGCGAACAGAUGAGGAGCUUGCUCCUCUGACGUUAGCGGCGGACGGGUGAGUAACACGUGGAUAACCUACCUAUAAGACUGGGAUAACUUCGGGAAACCGGGGCUAAUACCGGAUAAUAUAUUGAACCGCAUGGUUCAAUAGUGAAAGACGGUUUUGCUGUCACUUAUAGAUGGAUCCGCGCCGCAUUAGCUAGUUGGUAAGGUAACGGCUUACCAAGGCGACGAUGCGUAGCCGACCUGGGAGGGUGAUCGGCCACACGGGAACUGAGACACGGUCCAGACUCCUACGGGAGGCAGCAGUAGGGAAUCGUACGCAAUGGGCGAAAGCCUGACGGAGCAACGCCGCGUGAGUGAUGAAGGUCUUCGGAUCGUAAAACUCUGUUAUUAGGGAAGAACAAAUGUGUAAGUAACUAUGCACGUCUUGACGGUACCUAAUCAGAAAGCCACGGCUAACUACGUG